Molecule: ribosomal RNA, 564 nt
Filed under: Citrobacter freundii
Lineage: Bacteria; Pseudomonadati; Pseudomonadota; Gammaproteobacteria; Enterobacterales; Enterobacteriaceae
Description: partial 23S ribosomal RNA
Rfam family: Bacterial large subunit ribosomal RNA
Source: RNAcentral
ACCCGGGUUGCGGACAGUGUCUGGUGGGUAGUUUGACUGGGGCGGUCUCCUCCUAAAGAGUAACGGAGGAGCACGAAGGUUAGCUAAUCCUGGUCGGACAUCAGGAGGUUAGUGCAAAGGCAUAAGCUAGCUUGACUGCGAGAGUGACGGCUCGAGCAGGUGCGAAAGCAGGUCUUAGUGAUCCGGUGGUUCUGAAUGGAAGGGCCAUCGCUCAACGGAUAAAAGGUACUCCGGGGAUAACAGGCUGAUACCGCCCAAGAGUUCAUAUCGACGGCGGUGUUUGGCACCUCGAUGUCGGCUCAUCACAUCCUGGGGCUGAAGUAGGUCCCAAGGGUAUGGCUGUUCGCCAUUUAAAGUGGUACGCGAGCUGGGUUUAGAACGUCGUGAGACAGUUCGGUCCCUAUCUGCCGUGGGCGCUGGAGAAUUGAGGGGGGCUGCUCCUAGUACGAGAGGACCGGAGUGGACGCAUCACUGGUGUUCGGGUUGUCAUGCCAAUGGCAUUGCCCGGUAGCUAAAUGCGGAAGAGAUAAGUGCUGAAAGCAUCUAAGCACGAAACUUGCCCCG